Molecule: ribosomal RNA, 2906 nt
Filed under: Escherichia coli B94
Lineage: Bacteria; Pseudomonadati; Pseudomonadota; Gammaproteobacteria; Enterobacterales; Enterobacteriaceae
Description: bacterial LSU rRNA
Rfam family: Bacterial large subunit ribosomal RNA
Source: RNAcentral
UUAAGCGACUAAGCGUACACGGUGGAUGCCCUGGCAGUCAGAGGCGAUGAAGGACGUGCUAAUCUGCGAUAAGCGUCGGUAAGGUGAUAUGAACCGUUAUAACCGGCGAUUUCCGAAUGGGGAAACCCAGUGUGAUUCGUCACACUAUCAUUAACUGAAUCCAUAGGUUAAUGAGGCGAACCGGGGGAACUGAAACAUCUAAGUACCCCGAGGAAAAGAAAUCAACCGAGAUUCCCCCAGUAGCGGCGAGCGAACGGGGAGGAGCCCAGAGCCUGAAUCAGUGUGUGUGUUAGUGGAAGCGUCUGGAAAGGCGCGCGAUACAGGGUGACAGCCCCGUACACAAAAAUGCACAUGCUGUGAGCUCGAUGAGUAGGGCGGGACACGUGGUAUCCUGUCUGAAUAUGGGGGGGACCAUCCUCCAAGGCUAAAUACUCCUGACUGACCGAUAGUGAACCAGUACCGUGAGGGAAAGGCGAAAAGAACCCCGGCGAGGGGAGUGAAAAAGAACCUGAAACCGUGUACGUACAAGCAGUGGGAGCACAGAGCAAUCUUGUGUGACUGCGUACCUUUUGUAUAAUGGGUCAGCGACUUAUAUUCUGUAGCAAGGUUAACCGAAUAGGGGAGCCGAAGGGAAACCGAGUCUUAACUGGGCGUUAAGUUGCAGGGUAUAGACCCGAAACCCGGUGAUCUAGCCAUGGGCAGGUUGAAGGUUGGGUAACACUAACUGGAGGACCGAACCGACUAAUGUUGAAAAAUUAGCGGAUGACUUGUGGCUGGGGGUGAAAGGCCAAUCAAACCGGGAGAUAGCUGGUUCUCCCCGAAAGCUAUUUAGGUAGCGCCUCGUGAAUUCAUCUCCGGGGGUAGAGCACUGUUUCGGCAAGGGGGUCAUCCCGACUUACCAACCCGAUGCAAACUGCGAAUACCGGAGAAUGUUAUCACGGGAGACACACGGCGGGUGCUAACGUCCGUCGUGAAGAGGGAAACAACCCAGACCGCCAGCUAAGGUCCCAAAGUCAUGGUUAAGUGGGAAACGAUGUGGGAAGGCCCAGACAGCCAGGAUGUUGGCUUAGAAGCAGCCAUCACUUAAAGAAAGCGUAAUAGCUCACUGGUCGAGUCGGCCUGCGCGGAAGAUGUAACGGGGCUAAACCAUGCACCGAAGCUGCGGCAGCGACACUGCGUGUUGUUGGGUAGGGGAGCGUUCUGUAAGCCUGUGAAGGUGUGCUGUGAGGCAUGCUGGAGGUAUCAGAAGUGCGAAUGCUGACAUAAGUAACGAUAAAGCGGGUGAAAAGCCCGCUCGCCGGAAGACCAAGGGUUCCUGUCCAACGUUAAUCGGGGCAGGGUGAGUCGACCCCUAAGGCGAGGCCGAAAGGCGUAGUCGAUGGGAAACAGGUUAAUAUUCCUGUACUUGGUGUUACUGCGAAGGGGGGACGGAGAAGGCUAUGUUGGCCGGGCGACGGUUGUCCCGGUUUAAGCGUGUAGGCUGGUUUUCCAGGCAAAUCCGGAAAAUCAAGGCUGAGGCGUGAUGACGAGGCACUACGGUGCUGAAGCAACAAAUGCCCUGCUUCCAGGAAAAGCCUCUAAGCAUCAGGUAACAUCAAAUCGUACCCCAAACCGACACAGGUGGUCAGGUAGAGAAUACCAAGGCGCUUGAGAGAACUCGGGUGAAGGAACUAGGCAAAAUGGUGCCGUAACUUCGGGAGAAGGCACGCUGAUAUGUAGGUGAAGUCCCUCGCGGAUGGAGCUGAAAUCAGUCGAAGAUACCAGCUGGCUGCAACUGUUUAUUAAAAACACAGCACUGUGCAAACACGAAAGUGGACGUAUACGGUGUGACGCCUGCCCGGUGCCGGAAGGUUAAUUGAUGGGGUCAGCGCAAGCGAAGCUCUUGAUCGAAGCCCCGGUAAACGGCGGCCGUAACUAUAACGGUCCUAAGGUAGCGAAAUUCCUUGUCGGGUAAGUUCCGACCUGCACGAAUGGCGUAAUGAUGGCCAGGCUGUCUCCACCCGAGACUCAGUGAAAUUGAACUCGCUGUGAAGAUGCAGUGUACCCGCGGCAAGACGGAAAGACCCCGUGAACCUUUACUAUAGCUUGACACUGAACAUUGAGCCUUGAUGUGUAGGAUAGGUGGGAGGCUUUGAAGUGUGGACGCCAGUCUGCAUGGAGCCGACCUUGAAAUACCACCCUUUUAAUGUUUGAUGUUCUAACGUGGACCCGUGAUCCGGGUUGCGGACAGUGUCUGGUGGGUAGUUUGACUGGGGCGGUCUCCUCCUAAAGAGUAACGGAGGAGCACGAAGGUUGGCUAAUCCUGGUCGGACAUCAGGAGGUUAGUGCAAUGGCAUAAGCCAGCUUGACUGCGAGCGUGACGGCGCGAGCAGGUGCGAAAGCAGGUCAUAGUGAUCCGGUGGUUCUGAAUGGAAGGGCCAUCGCUCAACGGAUAAAAGGUACUCCGGGGAUAACAGGCUGAUACCGCCCAAGAGUUCAUAUCGACGGCGGUGUUUGGCACCUCGAUGUCGGCUCAUCACAUCCUGGGGCUGAAGUAGGUCCCAAGGGUAUGGCUGUUCGCCAUUUAAAGUGGUACGCGAGCUGGGUUUAGAACGUCGUGAGACAGUUCGGUCCCUAUCUGCCGUGGGCGCUGGAGAACUGAGGGGGGCUGCUCCUAGUACGAGAGGACCGGAGUGGACGCAUCACUGGUGUUCGGGUUGUCAUGCCAAUGGCACUGCCCGGUAGCUAAAUGCGGAAGAGAUAAGUGCUGAAAGCAUCUAAGCACGAAACUUGCCCCGAGAUGAGUUCUCCCUGACCCUUUAAGGGUCCUGAAGGAACGUUGAAGACGACGACGUUGAUAGGCCGGGUGUGUAAGCGCAGCGAUGCGUUGAGCUAACCGGUACUAAUGAACCGUGAGGCUUAACCUU